UCAUGAGAGACACACAGAGAGAGGCAGAGACAUAAGCAGAGGGAGAAGAAGGCUCCCCAUGGGGAGCCCGAUGUGGGGCUUGAUCCCAGGACCUUGGUGAUAUGGGAGAGCUUGGUUAUUGUCUCACAGAGUCGAAGAAUGAAUCUUGAGGACAACAAAGAGUGAGCAAAGUGAUAGAAAUUUAUUAAGCAGAGAUACAGAGAAAGCUCUCAAAAGUGGGAGGGAUCCUGACAGGGUUGCCACUGAGGGCUUUUAUAGUCUGUCUUUUAUAGGAAACUGACCAAGGAACUUGGUAAAUUUCUUGUCAAUAUCAGGAGGAUAUUUAGAUGAAACAUGGUGACUAGCAACAAACAAGAUGUUCUGAGAUCCCUGGAUGGCUCAGCCGUUGAGGUCUGCCUUCAGCUCAGGGCGUGACCCUGGGGUCCCGGGAUCGAGUCCCACAUCAGGCUCCCUGCAUGGAGCCUGCUUCUCCCUCUGCCUGUGUCUCUGCCUCUCUCUCUCUUUCUCUCUCUCAUAAAUAAAUAAAUAAAUAAAAUCUUAAAAAAAAAAAAAAGAACCAAUUUCUGAUACCAAAAGCUAAUGCCACAAAAUGUUACAUAACAAAUAUCCAGAAACUCAGUGCCUUCAAAAUAAAUGUUCUUUAUUACCAUUGAUCUGUGAUUUAGCUGGGGGUUGGUAAAGCUCAGCUGGACUCAGCUGGCCUGCUUUGCUGAUUUAGGUUGAACGUCACUAGGACCAAUUGGCUUUAUUCUUUGUAUUACUCAUCCUCCUCGAACCCGUGGGCUAGUUAUCAACAUGUUCUGCUGCUUCUGAGAGCAUAGCAUGAGAAAGCAAGCUCAACCACAUAAAUGCUUUUCAACCUCUGCUUACAAUUUAGCUGCAAUAUCCCAUAAGCCAAAGUAAGUCACAUGGCCAAGCCUAGAACCAAAGUUCAGGGACAUAUAUCCCACCCACAUAGCUGGGAGGGGGACAGAAAACAGUGAAUAUUUUUGAAUAAUCCAAUCUACUACAUAUGGUACUGUGGAAUUUUAGAUCACCUCCAAAGAGGAAAAGUCAUUGGGUCCAACGGAUUGGAAAUUAGAAUGGCAAAACUUCUCAGAGCAAUUCCAAAAGUUAGGAGUCAAUGGAAUGCCUGCCAAAUUCUGAAUGAAAUUAUUUAAAUCUAGAAGCCUAUAUCUAUCUAAAUUAGUCAAUUAUAAGGCUAGAAGAAGAAAUUUUGAGCCAUUCAGAUUCUCAAUUAUGUCCCAUGUACAUUUCUUCAGGAAUCUAUAGGAGAAUAAGAUCCACAAAAAAAGAAGGACUAAAACCAAGAAAGAGCAAGAGGAGGAAUACAAGAAAUAGGAAAAAUAGGAAAUCUUUUUUUUUUUAAGAUUUAUUUAUUUAUUUAUUCAGAGAGAGAGAGAGAGAGAGAGAGAGAGAGAGAGAGAGAGAGGCAGAGACACAGGCAGAGGGAGAAGCAGGCUCCAUGCAGGGAGCCUGAUGCGGGACUCAAUCCCGGGUCUCCAGGAUCACACCCCAGGCUGCAGGCGGUGCUAAACCGCUGCACCACCGGGGCUGCCCGGAAAUAGGAAAUCUAACAGAGGAGAGAGAUCAAGGAAAUUUCCAGUGUGACAGCACAUGGAAGUUCCAUACCAUUGCAUGGCGAGAAAGAGCACUCUGGAUUUAUAGGGAUACUCUCUGGUUCUCUGCAGUGUGGACAAUUUAAUUGUGUGAAAAAUCUAAAUAAAAUGCUAUUAUGCAGAAUGCGAAAACUCAAGUAUAUUUACAAUGAGAAACUAAGCAAACAAAAAAUGGUGCAAUUAUUAACUCUAGAAAAAUACUCAAAAAAUGUAUAUAAAAAUAUAAUUAUAAUUCACUAUGGUUUGAUUGUAAACAAUGUUUCAUAUUAAGGUAAUCAUAAAAAUUGUACUAUUGGAAGAAUAGGAAGAAGAAAGUGAAAUCCUAUCUACCAUAAUAGAAAGUAACUAGAUAAUAUCCAACAUGGAUAAAUGAGGAGUAAGUAAUAUAAUACAAAUUAUUUAGCAAUAUGGAAGAAAUCAAUUGACUCCAGAGUGGAAUUAGAAAACAUGAAGUGUGGGACAAAGGAUUGCUAUUUUGUAAGUCUUUUUAUCAAUACUUGACUCUUGUAAAAAUGUGUGCAUAUAUUAUUCUAAUAAAUAUUUUAAAGGCCUAGGGAAAGGUAAUAAAAUAAGCCUGUAUAAUACUUGGUGAGAGCAAAUUUCAUCCAUUUUGUCAUUUAUUGAAUAAUCAUUUAUGCUUGGCACUGGGCAUCAAAAUAAUGAUUAACAAUGCACAGUGUUUAGUGAUUAUGAAACAGGUUUGUAUAUAUUAGUCUUAUGAUUUGAUUCUCACAAGUCUGUGAGGUUAACACAGAAACAAACUUACCGUGAUACUGAUCAAUCUUAAGCUUCAAGGCCGCUCAGUGAAUGAGCUGCUUCCUAACUCUGGGAACGGUCACUAGUAAUAUGCUCACACAUGACAAGUUUUGGUAAAUUAUACACCCCCCCAAAAUGGCCUUUUGUUAAGAUGACUGUUACUUUCCAAAUUCCAAUGCAUCAUACUUCCCCUUAUGUAGGCUUGGGCAUUAUUUCUAAAUAAAUACACAUUUUGUAUACAUCUAAUGUAUAUUCACAAUUUUGUAUCUUUGCUUAAAAAGGGCUCCUCCUCAUAUUAUCAACUUCAGGCUUUAUAAAACCUGAAUUAAUCCCUGGUAUAUUAUACAUGUAUAUUAUACAUCCCAUAUAUACAUCCAUAUAUAUAUAUCCAUAUAUAUACAUAUUAUACAUCCCAUUUUACAAAUUAAUGAAUAAGGGUAAGUAGCUUUGCCCAGAUUUCCACAUCUGGAUUUAAAUUCACGUAUUUGAGUUGUCUGACUUCAUUUUCUUUCCAUUACUCCACAGUAUAUCUCUAGAUGGUGAAAGAAAGGUUAAGAGGCAUCAGCUACUUUCCUGGGAAAAUCAGUACUGGAACAUGGGUGGAAAGGGGGUAAACCUGAGUCAUCAGGAUUCAUAUGGUGGUGUUGGGUAAC
Molecule: long non-coding RNA, 3028 nt
Filed under: Canis lupus familiaris (dog)
Lineage: Eukaryota; Metazoa; Chordata; Mammalia; Carnivora; Canidae
Description: lncRNA (ENSCAFG00845009844.1)
Source: RNAcentral